GUAGUUAUUCUCCUACUGGUUGUAAAGACAGUUGUCUCUGCAUCUCGAGGUCAACUUGACAACGAUAAGAUCAAGCAAAUCAAAGCUGGACUUCGGAGCACUUUGUUGCUCUUCCCCCUGCUUGGUAUCGCUUGGCUAUUGACAACUGUAGUGGCAGUUUUCCCUCACGUCAAGGCGUUGGAAUACACCUUCAACCUGCUCAAUUCUCUUCAGGGGUUCUUCGUCGCAUGGCUCUAUUGCUUUCUCAAUUCGGAGGU
Molecule: long non-coding RNA, 257 nt
Organism: Strongylocentrotus purpuratus (purple sea urchin)
Lineage: Eukaryota; Metazoa; Echinodermata; Echinoidea; Camarodonta; Strongylocentrotidae
Exons: 3
Source: RefSeq, a predicted model, not a curated record